AUCAUCCGUGGAGUGAACAACGGUGUCCUGUGCCACGCGGUCCCGUGUGGUAGGGCCCGGGUGGCGGUGGCGAGGCGAGGCGAGGCCGAAGACGUUUUUCUCAUCGGAUUUCGGAUUGUGGAAUUUUCCAAGGUACCGCAUCUUUUAGAAGGUGGUUAUCCGAAAUUCCCUGCAAAGAAAUUCGUGAAACGCCGUGUGAGGUCAUCGUCCGUUUCAGCCGUUGUGCGUGCGUGCGUGUUCCUAUGGCACACGUGUGUGAGUGCAACGCGCUGCGACGUGAAAAGAGCCGAGCAAAGAUGGCUGCUACACCACUUAGCACGCCGCCGGUACAGCGGCGUGGAAUUGUGGCAUCCGUUUCGGUCUAGCAGGCGUCUGCUGACCACGUGCCCAAUUUUCUUCUUCAAAAUCUUCUCAUCGCGUCAUGGCGUCAUCAUCGCACAUGGAAUUCAUGCGAAACCGCUUCUAUUUAUUUUAACGUUCAGCAUCUCGAACGUACUUAUUACCCUAUUCGGGUAACGUCGAUGGAUGUUCUUACCCCGCGAGAUGAUGUACCGACUUCUACCUAAGCAUCAUACGGCUGAUCUCCAAGGCGGGAGUGACAAGCGGUUGGCUUCAUUUAGGAACGGCGCAUCAUCCGGGACCCGGCAGCAUUGACUACCUCGUCGUACUGUCUUCGAUUUGUUUUAAAGGCAUCGAUGGACGAAAAUCUCAACCAUUCUAAUUUCGGAUGUUUAAUUAGUAUUAACACUGCACCGAAGUCGUAGACUCGAUAUUUCUGAUAGCUCAUCAGGAGCUUAACCAAACGAAUUUCGGAUAUUACUAACGCGAAAACAACUCAUGUUGUGUAGUACUUCAUGGUCUUGAAGUAUGAAAUAAAUGAACAGGAG
Molecule: long non-coding RNA, 887 nt
Organism: Anopheles aquasalis
Lineage: Eukaryota; Metazoa; Arthropoda; Insecta; Diptera; Culicidae
Source: RefSeq, a predicted model, not a curated record